CCACAGCUCGAGCCCCGCGGCCUCCGCACCGGACCGCUCGCCCCCGACUGGGCAUCCUCUGCGCUCCGGCCGCGGCGCCGGCUGCCUCCCAGCUGAGCCCCAGCGGCGACCCGUGUCCCCUCGGACCCCGGGGACAGAAGCGGCUACGGUGCGUCCACGGGGACUCCGCCCUCGAUCUCCGCUGGCGCCUCUGGUUCCAAAGACGGGCACUGCCCGCUGAGUCCUCUGCGGCCUGGACCUUCGGGGGAGGGACUCUGACCCGUGUUCCAGAGACUCUACAAACACCUGGGAAAUGAGCCCGAGAACCGUUGCAACGGAGCGGCCAGGCCGUCAUGACUCCCCGUGAGCUCGUCCGGAGGGAGUGCGGGAUCCAAGUGCGGGAUCCAAGCCACACUUACCCGGUGCCGCUGAGGGGCAGCCUCGCCUGGAGGCUGGAAGUAAGAACGAAAACAGAAACUGACGGUAGUGCUUGACGGACCAGGCCACCAUCUUCGGUUGGACUCUCUCCCCGGCCUCCCAGCUCGCCCCGCGGGACCCCUCCAGCCCUCACAUGCUCUGCGAUGGUUACAUGAACUCGCGGGCAGCGGCACGCGCACCCUCUCCGGCUGUGCCCCCGGUGGCCCGUUAGGGGAGACGCCGGGAAAAGCUUCCCGGGGGGACCGCAGACCAUGAACCUCCUCCUGAGGCUGCGGAGGAGCUUCCGCGCCCUCAUCGCGCUCCUGGCCGCCUUCUGCCUGGCCAGCAUCGCCUUCUCCGCCUACUUCCUCUACGCGGGCUCCCGGCAGGAGGUGGUGCUGCUGGAAGCCACCGCCAAGGCCGAGUGCGCCGACCUCAGGCU
This is a long non-coding RNA of Myotis davidii, 838 nucleotides long. RefSeq lists it as uncharacterized. NCBI's taxonomy places the organism in Eukaryota, Metazoa, Chordata, Mammalia, Chiroptera, Vespertilionidae. The record is from RefSeq and is a predicted model, not a curated record. The transcript is spliced from 3 exons.